RNAcentral lists this unclassified non-coding RNA (391 nucleotides) under Hevea brasiliensis (rubber tree). The record is from RNAcentral. Lineage: Eukaryota; Viridiplantae; Streptophyta; Magnoliopsida; Malpighiales; Euphorbiaceae.
GUUGAGAAGGGUUUUGAGCCGUCGGAUAAGUUGUUGUUGACUUCUGACUUGAUCUGGACAAUUGCUGACUCCGAGAACUUGAAGAUCUUCUCUCUGAGUGGUGGGUCCGGAGUAUUGGCAAUGGUGGGGUCGUGGGAAGGGGGUGAGAGGUUGAGCACCACGCGCGUGUUUCGGGCCUUGGAGCGGUCCAGAAAAGGUGGGACCGAGAUGGUUUGGCACCCAGUGCAGAUCUCGGCCCAUGACCUCAUGAAGUGCCACGUGGAUGACCCGUCUAGUAUCGCGUGGUUGAAUGCACACCCCAUUGCAAGGCCGUCUCGCAACUUGGUUAGCUGCACGGCCAACAGCGGUCGGUGAAGCCCCUCCAAAUUCAAGAUUCCAUUGUACGGCAGCA